AGGGAUGACGGCCUUCGGGUUGUAAACCUCUUUCAGCAGGGAAGAAGCGCAAGUGACGGUACCUGCAGAAGAAGCGCCGGCUAACUACGUGCCAGCAGCCGCGGUAAUACGUAGGGCGCAAGCGUUGUCCGGAAUUAUUGGGCGUAAAGAGCUCGUAGGCGGCUUGUCGCGUCGGUUGUGAAAGCCCGGGGCUUAACUCCGGGUCUGCAGUCGAUACGGGCAGGCUAGAGUUCGGUAGGGGAGAUCGGAAUUCCUGGUGUAGCGGUGAAAUGCGCAGAUAUCAGGAGGAACACCGGUGGCGAAGGCGGAUCUCUGGGCCGAUACUGACGCUGAGGAGCGAAAGCGUGGGGAGCGAACAGGAUUAGAUACCCUGGUAGUCCACGCCGUAAACGGUGGGCACUAGGUGUGGGCAGCAUUCCACGUUGUCCGUGCCGUAGCUAACGCAUUAAGUGCCCCGCCUGGGGAGUACGGCCGCAAGGCUA
RNAcentral lists this ribosomal RNA (482 nucleotides) under uncultured bacterium. RNAcentral's name for it is "bacterial SSU rRNA". It matches the Rfam family "Bacterial small subunit ribosomal RNA", at positions 404 to 896 of the family's 1533-position model. The record is from RNAcentral.